GCCUGUAUGCUGGAAUAGGUAGACAGAGAAAACUUAAGCUUUUCUGAGUAAAUCUCGUGAGUGUUCGAGUCACUCUUCAGGUA
Non-coding RNA from Ophiocordyceps sinensis CO18, 83 nucleotides. The record is from Rfam. NCBI's taxonomy places the organism in Eukaryota, Fungi, Ascomycota, Sordariomycetes, Hypocreales, Ophiocordycipitaceae.